This 469-nucleotide ribosomal RNA is filed under the name uncultured bacterium. RNAcentral describes it as "partial 16S ribosomal RNA". It matches the Rfam family "Bacterial small subunit ribosomal RNA", at positions 28 to 507 of the family's 1533-position model. The record is from RNAcentral.
GACGAACGCUGGCGGCGUGCUUAACACAUGCAAGUCGAACGGAGAACGAGGGAGCUUGCUCCCUCCGCAUCAGUGGCGAACGGGUGAGUAACACGUGAGCAAUCUGCCUCGAACUCUGGGAUAAGCUUUGGAAACGACGUCUAAUACCGGAUACUACACUGGAGGGCAUCCUCUCCGCGUGGAAAACACUUCGGUUCUGGAUGAGCUCUCGGCCUCUCAGCUUGUUGGUGAUGUAACGGCUCACCAAGGCGAGGACGGGUGGCCGGACUGAGAGGGUGACCGGCCACACAGGGACUGGGGAACGGCCCAGAGGCAAACGGGAGGAAGCGGUGGGAAUAUUGCACAACGGGCGCAAGCCUGAUGCAGCAACGCCGCGAGAGGGAAGACGGCCUUCGGGUUGUAAACAUCUUUUAGCGGGGAAGAAGAGAAAGUGACGGUACCUGAAGAAAAAGCAACGGCUAACUACGUG